Molecule: ribosomal RNA, 1563 nt
Filed under: Triticum aestivum (bread wheat)
Lineage: Eukaryota; Viridiplantae; Streptophyta; Magnoliopsida; Poales; Poaceae
Description: partial small subunit ribosomal RNA
Source: RNAcentral
AUGGCCAUGGCCGCCGCUGUCGCGCGCCGCUCGCGCCGCCUCCUCCGCCUGCUCUCCUCGCGCCCGAACCCUAAACCCGCCUCCCUCUCCUCCUGCUCCUCCCCUUCCCCCUCCUUCGACACUCCGGCCACCGCCGGCGAGCGCGAGGGCGACCCCCUCUCGUGGCGCCUCCUCCGCCUCCGGUCGCCGGGCGCGGCGGCCGCCGCCAUCGACGGGUGGGCCCAGGAGCGCGGCCGCGUCUCGCGGCCGGACCUCCAGCGUGCCGUCUCCCAGCUCCGCCGCGCGCGCCGCUACGGCCACGCCCUCGAGAUUUUAUCAUGGAUGGAGUCACGCAAAGAACUUAAACUAUUACCAUUGGAUCAUGCAGCUAGACUGGACUUGAUUGCGAAAGUGCACGGUACUUCUCAAGCUGAGGAAUAUUACAACAAAUUAAACUCUGCUUCAAGGGAAGCUGCCUCCUUCCCUCUCCUCCAUUGCUAUGUUGCUGACAGAAAUGUCCAGAAAGCAGAGUCCUUUAUGGCUAGUCUGCAGAGCAUUGGGCUACCUGUCGAUCCUCACUCCUUCAAUGAAAUGAUGAAACUCUAUGUUGCCACAUGUGAGUAUGAGAAGGUGUUCAGUGUCAUCGAUCUGAUGAAACGCAACAACAUUCCCAGGAAUGCUCUCUCAUAUAACCUUUGGAUGAACGCAUGUUCUGUCUCUGAUGUUUCGUCUGUACAAUCAGUCUUCAAGGAGAUGGUUAAUGAUGUUACGAUUGAGGUUGGUUGGAGCACAUACUGUACAUUGGCCAACAUCUUCAAGAAGCAUGAACUGAAUAGUAAAGCCCUGGCUUGCCUUAGGACGGCCGAAACAAAAUUAUCAACAACACAGCGCUUAGGAUAUUCUUUUGUAAUGACAUGUUACGCGGCUCUGGGUGACAGCGAUGGGGUUAUGAGAUUGUGGGAGGCUAGUAAAUGUGUCCCUGGUAGAAUCCCCGCUGCUAACUACAUGACUGCUAUUUUGUGUUUGAUAAAAGUCGGCGACUUUGACCGGGCUGAGUGGAUUUUUGGAAGCUGGGAAGCGGAGUGCAGGAAGCAUGAUGUGCGGGUUUCAAAUGUUCUUCUAGGUGCUUAUGUGAGGAACGGGUGGAUUGAAAAGGCUGAGAAGCUUCAUCUGCACAUGCUCGAGAAAGGUGCACGGCCAAACUACAAGACGUGGGAGAUAUUGAUGGAGGGAUUUGUUCAGAGUAGGCAGAUGGACAAGGCUGUCAAUGCCAUGAAGAAAGCUUUAUCUCUAAUGAAGAGCUGCCAUUGGAGACCUCCACUAAAACUGGUUGAGGCCAUCGCAGCAUUCUUCGAGGAGCAAGGAAACACGGAUGAUGCAAGCAGAUAUAUUAAGCUUCUUCAAAAGUUUAACCUGACAAGCUUGCCCCUGUACAAGUCUGUGCUUCGAGCAUAUAUUAAAGCUGAUACCGUGGUGCCAACAAACAUUUCCGAGAUGAUAGCAAGAGAUGACAUCGUUAUGGAUGAAGAAAUGGACCACUUGAUCAUACGUGCUAGCAAGAUAGAUAUCAGAGGCGAUGUGUAA